CCGGCGAAAUUUCCAGGUGAAUCAGGAGUUGUUUUCCCGGUGGGCUUUGGUGACGAGUCAGGAGCUGAGCUGGAAAAAGAUUUUCCGACGAGAAGUCAUGAUUUUGAUAUGAAGACUGAAACUGGAAUGGACACGAAUUCUCCAUCAAGAAGCCAUGAAUUUGAUCUGAAGACUGAAUCUGGAAACGACAAGAAUUCUCCGAUGGGCUUUGGUAGUGAAUCAGGAGCUGAGCUGGAAAAAGAAUUUGAUCAGAAGAACGAUUCUGGAAGAAACGAGUAUUCGCCGGAAUCUGACGGCGGUUUAGGAGCUCCGUUGGGAGGAAAUUUUCCGGUGAGAAGUCAUGAGUUGGAUCUGAAGAACGAAUCUGAUAUCGACAAGGAUGUGCCGACGGGAUUUGACGGAGAACCAGAUUUUCUGGCGAAGGGAAGACCUGGAUACGGUGAGGCAUCAGAAGAGGAUAAAUUUCCGGCGAGAAGUGAUGAUGUGGAAGUAGAGACUGAGCUGGGAAGAGACCCAAAGACGGAGACUCUUGAUCAAUUCUCACCGGAACUUUCUCAUCCUAAAGAAAGAGAUGAGUUUAAGGAGUCCAGAGAUGAUUUUGAGGAGACGAGAGAUGAGAAAACAGAGGAGCCAAAACAGAGCACUUACACAGAGAAGUUUGCUUCAAUGCUAGGUUACUCCGGAGAAAUUCCGGUGGGAGAUCAAA
This 706-nucleotide long non-coding RNA is filed under the name Arabidopsis thaliana (thale cress). RNAcentral's name for it is "long non-coding RNA (ATHA_LNC000485)". Lineage: Eukaryota; Viridiplantae; Streptophyta; Magnoliopsida; Brassicales; Brassicaceae. The record is from RNAcentral.